UGCCAGCAGCCGCGGUAACACGGGGGGCGCAAGCGUUAUUCGGAAUCAUUGGGCGUAAAGGGCGCGUAGGCGGCUUUGUAAGUCGGAUGUGAAAGCCCUGGGCUCAACCUGGGAAUGGCAUUCGAUACUGCAUGGCUAGAGUAUGGUAGAGGGAAGUGGAAUUUCCGGUGUAGCGGUGAAAUGCGUAGAUAUCGGAAGGAACACCGGUGGCGAAGGCGACUUCCUGGGCCAAUACUGACGCUGAGGCGCGAAAGCGUGGGUAGCAAACAGGAUUAGAUA
Molecule: ribosomal RNA, 279 nt
Filed under: uncultured bacterium
Lineage: Bacteria
Description: partial 16S ribosomal RNA
Rfam family: Bacterial small subunit ribosomal RNA
Source: RNAcentral